RNAcentral lists this ribosomal RNA (253 nucleotides) under uncultured bacterium. RNAcentral's name for it is "partial 16S ribosomal RNA". It matches the Rfam family "Bacterial small subunit ribosomal RNA", at positions 524 to 776 of the family's 1533-position model. The record is from RNAcentral.
UACGUAGGGUGCGAGCGUUAAUCGGAAUUACUGGGCGUAAAGCGUGCGCAGGCGGUUCGUUGUGUCGGUGGUGAAAUCCCCGGGCUUAACCUGGGAAUGGCCAUGGAAACUGGCGGGCUUGAGUGCGGCAGAGGGGGGUGGAAUUCCGCGUGUAGCAGUGAAAUGCGUAGAGAUGCGGAGGAACACCGAUGGCGAAGGCAGCCCCCUGGGUCGACACUGACGCUCAGGCACGAAAGCGUGGGGAGCAAACAGG